Molecule: ribosomal RNA, 2903 nt
Filed under: Escherichia coli
Lineage: Bacteria; Pseudomonadati; Pseudomonadota; Gammaproteobacteria; Enterobacterales; Enterobacteriaceae
Description: bacterial LSU rRNA
Rfam family: Bacterial large subunit ribosomal RNA
Source: RNAcentral
UUAAGCGACUAAGCGUACACGGUGGAUGCCCUGGCAGUCAGAGGCGAUGAAGGACGUGCUAAUCUGCGAUAAGCGUCGGUAAGGUGAUAUGAACCGUUAUAACCGGCGAUUUCCGAAUGGGGAAACCCAGUGUGAUUCGUCACACUAUCAUUAACUGAAUCCAUAGGUUAAUGAGGCGAACCGGGGGAACUGAAACAUCUAAGUACCCCGAGGAAAAGAAAUCAACCGAGAUUCCCCCAGUAGCGGCGAGCGAACGGGGAGCAGCCCAGAGCCUGAAUCAGUGUGUGUGUUAGUGGAAGCGUCUGGAAAGGCGUGCGAUACAGGGUGACAGCCCCGUACACAAAAAUGCACAUAUUGUGAGCUCGAUGAGUAGGGCGGGACACGUGGUAUCCUGUCUGAAUAUGGGGGGACCAUCCUCCAAGGCUAAAUACUCCUGACUGACCGAUAGUGAACCAGUACCGUGAGGGAAAGGCGAAAAGAACCCCGGCGAGGGGAGUGAAAAAGAACCUGAAACCGUGUACGUACAAGCAGUGGGAGCACAGAGCAAUCUGUGUGACUGCGUACCUUUUGUAUAAUGGGUCAGCGACUUAUAUUCUGUAGCAAGGUUAACCGAAUAGGGGAGCCGAAGGGAAACCGAGUCUUAACUGGGCGUUAAGUUGCAGGGUAUAGACCCGAAACCCGGUGAUCUAGCCAUGGGCAGGUUGAAGGUUGGGUAACACUAACUGGAGGACCGAACCGACUAAUGUUGAAAAAUUAGCGGAUGACUUGUGGCUGGGGGUGAAAGGCCAAUCAAACCGGGAGAUAGCUGGUUCUCCCCGAAAGCUAUUUAGGUAGCGCCUCGUGAAUUCAUCUCCGGGGGUAGAGCACUGUUUCGGCAAGGGGGUCAUCCCGACUUACCAACCCGAUGCAAACUGCGAAUACCGGAGAAUGUUAUCACGGGAGACACACGGCGGGUGCUAACGUCCGUCGUGAAGAGGGAAACAACCCAGACCGCCAGCUAAGGUCCCAAAGUCAUGGUUAAGUGGGAAACGAUGUGGGAAGGCCCAGACAGCCAGGAUGUUGGCUUAGAAGCAGCCAUCAUUUAAAGAAAGCGUAAUAGCUCACUGGUCGAGUCGGCCUGCGCGGAAGAUGUAACGGGGCUAAACCAUGCACCGAAGCUGCGGCAGCGACACUAUGUGUUGUUGGGUAGGGGAGCGUUCUGUAAGCCUGUGAAGGUGUGCUGUGAGGCAUGCUGGAGGUAUCAGAAGUGCGAAUGCUGACAUAAGUAACGAUAAAGCGGGUGAAAAGCCCGCUCGCCGGAAGACCAAGGGUUCCUGUCCAACGUUAAUCGGGGCAGGGUGAGUCGACCCCUAAGGCGAGGCCGAAAGGCGUAGUCGAUGGGAAACAGGUUAAUAUUCCUGUACUUGGUGUUACUGCGAAGGGGGGACGGAGAAGGCUAUGUUGGCCGGGCGACGGUUGUCCCGGUUUAAGCGUGUAGGCUGGUUUUCCAGGCAAAUCCGGAAAAUCAAGGCUGAGGCGUGAUGACGAGGCACUACGGUGCUGAAGCAACAAAUGCCCUGCUUCCAGGAAAAGCCUCUAAGCAUCAGGUAACAUCAAAUCGUACCCCAAACCGACACAGGUGGUCAGGUAGAGAAUACCAAGGCGCUUGAGAGAACUCGGGUGAAGGAACUAGGCAAAAUGGUGCCGUAACUUCGGGAGAAGGCACGCUGAUAUGUAGGUGAAGUCCCUCGCGGAUGGAGCUGAAAUCAGUCGAAGAUACCAGCUGGCUGCAACUGUUUAUUAAAAACACAGCACUGUGCAAACACGAAAGUGGACGUAUACGGUGUGACGCCUGCCCGGUGCCGGAAGGUUAAUUGAUGGGGUUAGCGCAAGCGAAGCUCUUGAUCGAAGCCCCGGUAAACGGCGGCCGUAACUAUAACGGUCCUAAGGUAGCGAAAUUCCUUGUCGGGUAAGUUCCGACCUGCACGAAUGGCGUAAUGAUGGCCAGGCUGUCUCCACCCGAGACUCAGUGAAAUUGAACUCGCUGUGAAGAUGCAGUGUACCCGCGGCAAGACGGAAAGACCCCGUGAACCUUUACUAUAGCUUGACACUGAACAUUGAGCCUUGAUGUGUAGGAUAGGUGGGAGGCUUUGAAGUGUGGACGCCAGUCUGCAUGGAGCCGACCUUGAAAUACCACCCUUUAAUGUUUGAUGUUCUAACGUUGACCCGUAAUCCGGGUUGCGGACAGUGUCUGGUGGGUAGUUUGACUGGGGCGGUCUCCUCCUAAAGAGUAACGGAGGAGCACGAAGGUUGGCUAAUCCUGGUCGGACAUCAGGAGGUUAGUGCAAUGGCAUAAGCCAGCUUGACUGCGAGCGUGACGGCGCGAGCAGGUGCGAAAGCAGGUCAUAGUGAUCCGGUGGUUCUGAAUGGAAGGGCCAUCGCUCAACGGAUAAAAGGUACUCCGGGGAUAACAGGCUGAUACCGCCCAAGAGUUCAUAUCGACGGCGGUGUUUGGCACCUCGAUGUCGGCUCAUCACAUCCUGGGGCUGAAGUAGGUCCCAAGGGUAUGGCUGUUCGCCAUUUAAAGUGGUACGCGAGCUGGGUUUAGAACGUCGUGAGACAGUUCGGUCCCUAUCUGCCGUGGGCGCUGGAGAACUGAGGGGGGCUGCUCCUAGUACGAGAGGACCGGAGUGGACGCAUCACUGGUGUUCGGGUUGUCAUGCCAAUGGCACUGCCCGGUAGCUAAAUGCGGAAGAGAUAAGUGCUGAAAGCAUCUAAGCACGAAACUUGCCCCGAGAUGAGUUCUCCCUGACCCUUUAAGGGUCCUGAAGGAACGUUGAAGACGACGACGUUGAUAGGCCGGGUGUGUAAGCGCAGCGAUGCGUUGAGCUAACCGGUACUAAUGAACCGUGAGGCUUAACCUU